This is a long non-coding RNA of Herpailurus yagouaroundi (jaguarundi), 924 nucleotides long. RefSeq lists it as uncharacterized. The transcript is spliced from 2 exons. NCBI's taxonomy places the organism in Eukaryota, Metazoa, Chordata, Mammalia, Carnivora, Felidae. The record is from RefSeq and is a predicted model, not a curated record.
AUACCUUCGCAGGAGAUGAAAAAUAUUUCUGGAUGGAACACUGCAUGAUGCUGUUUUAUAGAAGAUGAACUACUGAAAUCCGUUCUAAUUGAUUUUCCUUAUCUACAAGGCAAUUUUUUAAAGAAAGGCUUUCUUUAGAACCUUUAUAACAUGAAUAAGAAAACAGCAAUGUGAGCCCCAGUGGCAUUUCAGACUUCAUCUUCAAUGAAAGCAUUUUUACUGAACUUCUGAAAUAACGUUAAUUAUCUGAGCAUUGAUAGAUACAGCUCAUGCCUUGCCACAAUUAAUUUCUUUCUCAAUUGUUAUUUGGAAAAGUCUUUAAAAAUCUAUAUAAUUACUACCUUAGUUUUUACCCUAAAUACAAAUUGUAAACUUAUUCAUAUUGUGAAGUAAUUUAAAUUGGACUUUUUUCCUAAUGGCAAAAAUAAUGAUCUGUGUCAAAAAUUUAGAAAAUCUAAAAAAAGCAAUGUGAAAAUACUUUUGAUAAAAUAAAGGCAUUUUCCCUCUAAUUGCUCUUUGGUUAUCACACAUUAAAAAAAAGAAGAAGAAGAAAGAAAAAGAAAUUAAAAAGGAACCUGCAUCGCCAAUGAGAUUGAGUCCCUAACAACCUCAAAAGAGGAAAAAGUGAACAACAACAAAAAGAAUCCAGGAGGAGGUUGAAUGACGUGGGAAAAAGAGCCUAAGAAAGAAGAUGACAUCUAUCUAAGAGAACUGUGAUUGAUAAACUGAAAGGCUGAAACCAAAUCAGGAAAAGCUCUUUCCCCUGCCUGGAAUAAUUACCCAGUCCUCCCCUCUUGACUAAAUCUUCGAAGUCUCUCCUCCUUGCAGAAACCUGAUACACUGAUUCUUCUAGUGUAUUAAUUAACUAUUGAUAUACUGAUCUUGUGUAACAAAUUACCAUGAAAAUUAGUAGUUUAAAACAAC